AACUAUAACGGUCCUAAGGUAGCGAAAUUCCUUGUCGGGUAAGUUCCGACCCGCAUGAAAGGCGUAAUGAUUUGGGCACUGUCUCAACGAGGGGCCCGGUGAAAUUGAAAUACCUGUGAAGAUGCAGGUUACCCGCGACUGGACAGAAAGACCCCAUGGAGCUUCACUGCAGCUUGAGAUUGAAUCCCGGUGACAUAUGCACAGGAUAGGUGGGAGGCUAAGAAGUAAUGCCUUUGGGUGUUACAGAGCCGAUGUUGGGAUACCACCCUUAUGUUGCUGAGAUUCUAACACGGAGACUAACAACCUCGUGGACCAUCUCAGGCAGGCGGUUUGACUGGGGCGGUCGCCUCCUAAAAUGUAACGGAGGCGCCCAAAGGUUCCCUCAGGCCGGACAGAAACCGGCCGAAGAGUGCAAAGGCAGAAGGGAGCUUGACUGCGAGACAGACAAGUCGAGCAGAGACGAAAGUCGGGCUUAGUGAUCCGGUGGUACUGAGUGGAAAGGCCAUCGCUCAACGGAUAAAAGCUACCCUGGGGAUAACAGGCUAAUCUCUCCCAAGAGUUCAUAUCGACGGGGAGGUUUGGCACCUCGAUGUCGGCUCAUCACAUCCUGGAGCUGGAGUAGGUUCCAAGGGUUGGGCUGUUCGCCCAUUAAAGUGGUACGCGAGCUGGGUUCAAAACGUCGUGAGACAGUUUGGUUCAUAUCCAUCGCGGGCGCAAGAAGUUUGAGGGAGGCUGCUCCUAGUACGAGAGGACCGGAGUGGACGGAUCAACGGUGUACCAGUUGUCACGCCAGUGGCACGGCUGGAAAGCCGCAUCCGGAAAGGAUAAACGCUGAAAGCAUCUAAGCGUGAAGCCCGUCCCGAGAUGAGACUUCUCAUCAGCAAUGAGUAAGACCCCUUAAAGACGAUGAGGUUGAUAGGCUGUGAGUGGAAGUGGCGCAAGUCAUGGAGCGACGCAGUACUAAUAGGUCGAGGUCUUAGCUUA
RNAcentral lists this ribosomal RNA (984 nucleotides) under human gut metagenome. Its description in RNAcentral is "bacterial LSU rRNA". It matches the Rfam family "Bacterial large subunit ribosomal RNA", at positions 1938 to 2925 of the family's 2925-position model. The record is from RNAcentral.